UACGUAGGGGCCGAGCGUUGUCCGGAGUUACUGGGCGUAAAGCGCGCGCAGGCGGCUCGGUAAGCUCGGCGUGAAAGCCCCCGGCUCAACCGGGGAGGGUCGUCGGGGACUGCCGGGCUUGAGGGCGGUAGGGGCUGGUGGAAUUCCCGGUGUAGUGGUGAAAUGCGUAGAGAUCGGGAGGAACACCCGUGGCGAAGGCGGCCAGCUGGGCCGACCCUGACGCUGAGGCGCGAAGGCGUGGGGAGCGAACGGGAUUAGAUACCCCGGUAGUCCACGCAGUAAACGAUGCCGACUAGGCGUGGGGGGACUUGACCCCCUCCGUGCCGGAGCCAACGCGGUAAGUCGGCCGCCUGGGGAGUACGGCCGCAAGGCUAAA
This 376-nucleotide ribosomal RNA is filed under the name uncultured bacterium. RNAcentral's name for it is "bacterial SSU rRNA". It matches the Rfam family "Bacterial small subunit ribosomal RNA", at positions 524 to 898 of the family's 1533-position model. The record is from RNAcentral.